AUUGAACGCUGGCGGCAUGCCUUACACAUGCAAGUCGAACGGCAGCACGGGAGCUUGCUCUUGGUGGCGAGUGGCGAACGGGUGAGUAAUGCAUCGGAACGUAUCUGGAAGUGGGGGAUAACGUAGCGAAAGUUACGCUAAUACCGCAUAUUCUGUGAGCAGGAAAGCAGGGGAUCGCAAGACCUUGCGCUUUCGGAGCGGCCGAUGUCGGAUUAGCUAGUUGGUGAGGUAAAAGCUCACCAAGGCGACGAUCCGUAGCGGGUCUGAGAGGAUGAUCCGCCCCACUGGGACUGAGACACGGCCCAGACUCCUACGGGAGGCAGCAGUGGGGAAUUUUGGACAAUGGGCGCAAGCCUGAUCCAGCCAUGCCGCGUGAGUGAAGAAGGCC
Molecule: ribosomal RNA, 388 nt
Filed under: uncultured bacterium
Lineage: Bacteria
Description: bacterial SSU rRNA
Rfam family: Bacterial small subunit ribosomal RNA
Source: RNAcentral